Lycium ferocissimum is the source of this 541-nucleotide long non-coding RNA. RefSeq lists it as uncharacterized. The record is from RefSeq and is a predicted model, not a curated record. The transcript has 2 exons. NCBI's taxonomy places the organism in Eukaryota, Viridiplantae, Streptophyta, Magnoliopsida, Solanales, Solanaceae.
GUCUCAAGAUGGAGCAGCUUGCCUCUUCAUGGCGUGAUUAGGAUUCCAUCCAAUUAAUAGCAUUGCAAAAUACAUAGCUCCUGUUGCAAAGACGAAAUGAAAGAAUCCAUAACCAUAUGGAACAUCAUCUUCUUCAGUUGCUUGAUAUGACCCCAAAGAGCUCAAGACCUUUCACUCGUAGGCAAGCAAGGGUGCUUCAAGUACUACAAGCCAUGUUCAUGAAGAGAGGAGCGUUGGAAGAGCUUGAAGAGAAGAUCUCCAAAGUGUGCAAUGGUUGGAUGAUAGCUUGGGAGGGUGUUGAAGAGGAAGACACAAGAAAAGAGGCCACUACACAAAGUGGCUAACAUUGCAAAUGUCGUGUGAAGGCUCAAUGUUGGGUUAUUUCCGCAAAGGCCACUUUUGGGCUUUUGUUGUAAUAGGGAUUAGUAUAAAUAGACCCCUUAAGUCUUUCAUUUGCUCUUUAGCUUGACUAUUGAUCAAAACUAUAUGUUUUGAGAGUUUGUUUAGUUAGAUAUUAAUCAUAGUUGGUUUGGUUGACUAA